This 532-nucleotide long non-coding RNA is filed under the name Mytilus galloprovincialis (Mediterranean mussel). Lineage: Eukaryota; Metazoa; Mollusca; Bivalvia; Mytilida; Mytilidae. The record is from RNAcentral.
GGUCAAUUGACAAUUUUGGUCAUGUUAAUUUAUUUGUAGAUCUUACUUUGCUGAACAUUAUUGCUCUUUACAGUUUAUCUCUAUCUAUAAUAAUAUUCAAGAUAAUAACCAAAAUCUGCAAAAUUUCCUUAAAACUACUAAUUCAGGGGCAGCAACCCAACAACAGGUUGUCCAAUUUGCCUGAAAAUUUCAGGACAGAUAAAUCUUGACCUGAUAAACAAUUUUACCCAUUGACAGAUUUGCUCUAAAUGCUUUGGUUUUAGAGUUAUAAGCCAAAAUCUACAUGUUACCCCUAUGUUCUAUUUUUAGCCAUGGCGGCCAUCUUGGUUGGUUGGCAGGAUCACGCCACACAUUUUUUUAACAAGAUACCCCAAUGAUGAUUGUGGCCAAGUUUGGAUUAAUUUGGCCCAGUAGUUUCAGAGGAGAAGUUUUUUGUAAACACAUGAAACAAUUACAAAAAUUUAAGAAAAAUGGUUAAAAAUUGCCUAUUAACGGCAAUAACUCCUUAAGGGGUCAACUGACAAUUUUGGUG